This 312-nucleotide ribosomal RNA is filed under the name uncultured eukaryote. RNAcentral describes it as "partial 18S ribosomal RNA". It matches the Rfam family "Eukaryotic small subunit ribosomal RNA", at positions 1470 to 1796 of the family's 1831-position model. The record is from RNAcentral.
CCCUUAGAUGUCCUGGGCGGCCCGCGCGCUACAAUGUCAGCUACUGAAGGUUAAUGCUUUGAAAGAGAGCGCACUCUCCUUUUAAUUGCUCGCAUGCUGGGAUAAAUGAAUGCAAUUUUGUUUUGAACGAGGAAUUCCUAGUAGCCAUGUUUCACUAGAAGAUGGCGAAUGCGUCCCUGCCCUUUGUACACACCGCCCGUCGCUCCUACCGAUGAGCGUUUUGGCGAAGACGGUUUGAGUAGCUGCGUAAUUUCGUGUUGUUGACUCCGGCAGUUUGAGCCUUCACGUUUAGAGGAAGGAGAAGUCGUAACA